RNAcentral lists this ribosomal RNA (433 nucleotides) under uncultured bacterium. RNAcentral's name for it is "partial 16S ribosomal RNA". It matches the Rfam family "Bacterial small subunit ribosomal RNA", at positions 29 to 507 of the family's 1533-position model. The record is from RNAcentral.
AACGAACGCUGGCGGCAUGCCUAACACAUGCAAGUCGAACGAGACCUUCGGGUCUAGUGGCGCACGGGUGCGUAACGCGUGGGAACCUGCCCUUAGGUUCGGAAUAACUCCCCGAAAGGGGUGCUAAUACCGGAUAAUGUCUUCGGACCAAAGAUUUAUCGCCUUUGGAUGGGCCCGCGUUGGAUUAGCUAGUUGGUAGGGUAAAAGCCUACCAAGGCGACGAUCCAUAGCUGGUCUGAGAGGAUGAUCAGCCACACUGGGACUGAGACACGGCCCAGACUCCUACGGGAGGCAGCAGUGGGGAAUAUUGGACAAUGGGCGAAAGCCUGAUCCAGCAAUGCCGCGUGAGUGAUGAAGGCCUUAGGGUUGUAAAGCUCCUUUACCCGGGAUGAUAAUGACAGUACCGGGAAAAUAAGCUCCGGCUAACUCCGUG